This 583-nucleotide long non-coding RNA is filed under the name Jatropha curcas. RNAcentral describes it as "long non-coding RNA (JCUR_LNC002965)". The record is from RNAcentral. Lineage: Eukaryota; Viridiplantae; Streptophyta; Magnoliopsida; Malpighiales; Euphorbiaceae.
AUCACUCUAACACCGGUUCCCUUGAGCGAGAUGAAGUAUUUGUCCCUAAAAAGAAAUCCAACAUCCGCUGGUUCUCCAAAUACCUUAACAACCUACCAGGCCGCCUAUUCACUCUUACCAUAACACUUGCCCUUGGCUGGCCGCUAUACCUAGCAUUUAAUGUUUCAGGCAGGCAUUAUGACCGAUUUGCCUGUCACUUUGACCCAUAUGGCCCUAUCUACAAUGAUCGCGAGCGAACUGAGAUAUUCAUUUCUGAUGCUGGUGUUCUUGCUGUCACUUAUGGUCUCUACCGUCUUGCUCUAGCAAAGGGCUUUGCUUGGGUUAUUUGCGUUUAUGGAGUACCUUUGUUAGUGGUGAAUGCAUUUCUUGUUAUGAUCACAUAUCUGCAACAUACUCAUCCUUCAUUGCCGCAUUAUGAUUCUUCUGAGUGGGAUUGGCUGAGAGGCGCGCUCGCAACUGUUGAUAGAGAUUACGGAAUCUUGAACAAGGUAUUCCAUAACAUUACAGACACUCAUGUAGCUCACCAUUUGUUUUCUACAAUGCCACAUUAUCAUGCAAUGGAGGCUACAAAUGCCAUAAAACC